This is a long non-coding RNA of Anolis carolinensis (green anole), 369 nucleotides long. RefSeq lists it as uncharacterized. The record is from RefSeq and is a predicted model, not a curated record. The transcript is spliced from 4 exons. NCBI's taxonomy places the organism in Eukaryota, Metazoa, Chordata, Lepidosauria, Squamata, Anolidae.
CCUUCUUUCUGGGCCUGAAAGCCUGUUAGGGAUUCCUCUUCUUCAGAAGAGGAAGGAGAGCAGGAAAGUGUUCAUAAAUCUGAAGGUAAAUCUACUGUGAAAGUUAUGAGCCAAGCCCAGCUCACUGACUUCAAACGGAAUUGGAGGUACCUGUAGAGAGUUACCCUGGCAGACGAGCUUUCACUAAAGCCAGCAGAGCAGAGGCAUUUAACAAAAGAAGGUGUAUUCCAAGGAAACUUUUUCCAGAUUCGGGCAAAGACAGGAUGCUUUAAAAGGAAAGAAGGAGAUGAUGAGGAUCAUGGUGGUGGUGGUGGUGAGGAUCUUUAAUUUCCAGUGAGCACAGGAUGGGAAAGUUUCCAUUUCUCAUAG